CGUUUUUGGUUUUGGUCCCUGUAAUAUAGUCAGGGAUCAUCUGUCACGACACAUAAGCGUUUUUUGCCACAUCAUCCUUUGCCACGUCAGCCGCCGUUAGACAGCGAGGCGUUUUUGUAACGGAAGUUGACGGGAGGGACGAAAAUCAAAAAGUUAUUAACUUACCGGGGUUGUUUUAGAACAAAAAAAGAUACGGGGACGAAAACCAAAAACACGCGAACUUACAGGGACCUUUUACAUAUUUAAGC
RNAcentral lists this long non-coding RNA (248 nucleotides) under Medicago truncatula (barrel medic). RNAcentral describes it as "long non-coding RNA (MTRU_LNC001031)". The record is from RNAcentral. Lineage: Eukaryota; Viridiplantae; Streptophyta; Magnoliopsida; Fabales; Fabaceae.